This 465-nucleotide ribosomal RNA is filed under the name uncultured bacterium. RNAcentral describes it as "partial 16S ribosomal RNA". It matches the Rfam family "Bacterial small subunit ribosomal RNA", at positions 28 to 507 of the family's 1533-position model. The record is from RNAcentral.
GAUGAACGCUGGCGGCGUGCUUAACACAUGCAAGUCGAACGGAAAGGCUCCUGCUUGCAGGGGUACUCGAGUGGCGAACGGGUGAGUAACACGUGGGUGAUCUGCCCUGCACUUCGGGAUAAGCCUGGGAAACUGGGCCUAAUACCGGAUAGGACGAUGGCUUGGAUGCCAUUGUGGAAAGUUUUUCGGUGUGGGAUGAGCUCGCGGCCUAUCAGCUUGUUGGUGGGGUAAUGGCCUACCAAGGCGUCGACGGGUAGCCGGCCUGAGAGGGUGUACGGCCACAUUGGGACUGAGAUACGGCCCAGACUCCUACGGGAGGCAGCGGUGGGGAAUAUUGCACAAUGGGCGCGAGCCUGAUGCAGCGACGCCGCGUGGGGGAUGACGGCCUUCGGGUUGUAAAAUCCUUUCGCUAGGGACGAAGCGCAAGUGACGGUACCUGGAGAAGAAGCACCGGCUAACUACGUG